This 73-nucleotide transfer RNA is filed under the name bacterium. Its description in RNAcentral is "tRNA-Lys". It matches the Rfam family "tRNA". From Rfam's summary of the family: Transfer RNA (tRNA) molecules are approximately 80 nucleotides in length. Their secondary structure includes four short double-helical elements and three loops (D, anti-codon, and T loops). Further hydrogen bonds mediate the characteristic L-shaped molecular structure. tRNAs have two regions of fundamental functional importance: the anti-codon, which is responsible for specific mRNA codon recognition, and the 3' end, to which the tRNAs corresponding amino acid is attached (by aminoacyl-tRNA synthetases). tRNAs cope with the degeneracy of the genetic code in two manners: having more than one tRNA (with a specific anti-codon) for a particular amino acid; and 'wobble' base-pairing, i.e. permitting non-standard base-pairing at the 3rd anti-codon position. The record is from RNAcentral.
CCGCCCUUAGCUCAAUUGGCAGAGCAGCUCCCUCUUAAGGAGACGGUUGUAGGUUCAAGUCCUACAGGGCGGA